Molecule: long non-coding RNA, 108 nt
Organism: Pogoniulus pusillus (Red-fronted tinkerbird)
Lineage: Eukaryota; Metazoa; Chordata; Aves; Piciformes; Lybiidae
Exons: 3
Source: RefSeq, a predicted model, not a curated record
AGGAUCACUUUCACCAAAACAGGGAUACCCUUUCUUCAGCUUGGAUGGGGUGGACCACUGGUUCCUCCCCUUAUCUGUAUUAUGGCUACAGGAAGGUGAACAAGCAGA